Molecule: long non-coding RNA, 17563 nt
Filed under: Nicotiana benthamiana
Lineage: Eukaryota; Viridiplantae; Streptophyta; Magnoliopsida; Solanales; Solanaceae
Description: long non-coding RNA (NBEN_LNC028613)
Source: RNAcentral
CCGCCCUAAACUCCCCUUCUCUCUCAAACGCUCUCAAACACUCAAACCUUUGCCCCCCCGCCUUCUCCGACCCUUAUCUCGCUGGUGUCUUUGGAUUUUCAGGCCAUGGACGACUUGUGCUCAACUCUCUUCACUCCUAAGCCAUGGGUGUUCAAUAUUUUGAGGUCAGACCUCUAUGGCACCUGUCAGAUCCUUUGCCGAUCUGUGUUCCUAUGGCCUCUCCGGCCCUGUUCCGACGUAUUCGAGUUCUGGGAGCCUAGCCAUGGCCAUCUCUGACUCAAGACCAGACCUCUUCCGAGCCUUCUCAUUUCUAGGGUUUAAGCCUAAAAUCUAUUCGAGGUUCCUUCUUCUUUUGUUUGCCUAGAUCUGUGAAAAAUCUGUGAUAUAUUCAAUGUUUUAAAAAAUUUCCCCAAUUUUCCUGUUUAAAUUAGUUUGUUUUCAAUUUAUGGUUUCUGAAAAAAUCUCAAAAACAAUUUUUGUCACUUCUUCUUCUUUUUUUGCGUGAAUCUGUCUAUGCCAUGUUCUUUCCUCGCAUGCAUGCUCCUAUGUUCUUAUGUUUUGCCAUAUUAUGCAUGUUCUUCUAUUUUGUGUUCUGUUCUUCCCUCUACUGGGUUCUAUAUGCAUGAUUUACAUGUCUAUCUUGUAUGUCCCUCUACUGUAUUUUCUGAGCUAUUGCUCCUUGCUUUCCUUUAGUGGACUUUGUUUGAACCCUAAGCAUGUUUCAUCUACUGAUUUCCUAAACUUGUAUUGCUUUUUCUUUCUUGAACGUAUUUGAGUGCCAAGGUUUUCCUAAAUGUAUUCCCUGUGCUUAAAACUUGUUGUUCUCUCUAUUUGUUUUCUCAUAAGUCUAUGAAAGAGACUACUGAGCCUAUUCUAUUUGUUAUUUUCUCGCCUAUGCAUCUUAUUCGAGUCAGUAACCCUUGUAUUUGGGGGCGGGGUGGUUUGGCGAGCUUGACUUGUAUUUGGGAUAGGGUUCCAUUUAGAACCCUUGACUCGCUUUCAGACUCAUCUGAGUCUGUGAACCUAACCUUCUUGGUUACUCUGAUUUCUUGCUAGUUUUACGACAACUCUCUCUUGUCUCACAUGCCUGCAUGCUUUUUAUAUGACAAAUUCUCUUCUUUCAAAAGGGAUUUGGCCAGCAUUGUAAUUGACUCCAAACCCCUUUUAAUGCUUGAUCGAGUGUUUACUGAUUUUCUUUAAAUUAAACCCCUUCUCACCUUUUUCUGGUUGGAUUCAUUCACACUAAGAUUUGAAUCCUGAUUUUCCUGGCUGUUAAUUGAUUGUCUUUCCUUAUUUGGCCCAAACCGUGUACUACUAAACUAUUUUCUUAAAUAAUGCUCUGUGUAUUUACUCCUGUUACACUGCUUUAGAAAAGAUUUUUAAAACAAAUCCUUUCCUUAUUUGUUUUGCCAGUUUGAAUCAAAUCCCUUAACCAAAGGGAAACAACUUGUGAUUGAUUUCAAAACUAUUCUCUUUCCUUUUUCUCUACUUGUCUUCUGCACUAUAAAAGGGUCUACCCUUUUUUCACUAAAGGACAUGCUUUCACACACUUUCUUCACUCAAAAUACAGGCAUUAUACACAUGAAUACUGAGUUCUUUCACGAUUAAAAUCCUAUUCUCUUCUUCCCUGUGCUUCUAUUAUCUGCUUUUCGAAACAACCUUGACUUUUCUUCGAGCCCUCCAAGUGUUCUGCUGAGAACUUAAGUCUGUUCCUGUUGUGAUUGCUUUGUUGUUUUGCUCUUUUAUUACUCUACAACUGGUAUGUUCUUCAUAGUUAAAUAAUGCUCCUCCAUUAUAUGUUUACUUCUUAAGUUAUGUUAUGUUCUUCUUUACUAUGUUUCCGCAACUCUGUUUGUGCUUUUCUUAUGUGAACUCCCAUUCCUUUAUCCCUUUGUAUGCGAGUGUGGUUCCAACCAUAGCAGCUCUUUAACAUUGCUGUCUAUGACUCCGAACUGGGGUUUUUUGAACCCCUAACUCGAACCACUUCCCAAUCCCUUCUCCCCUUUAUGUGUUUGAGCCUGGACUUGUGUCUGGUGGUGUCCUAAUUACCAUCCAUACUUAGGUUGACCCUCAAAGGUCUUCUCCUAACUAGUUUGACCAAACAAAUGGUCAGGGGUGUUCUAGUCUGCACCUGUGACUUGGUAUGACCACCAUUUGUUAUGGCUCCCCCAAUUCCUCUUUCACUUAACACUUACUCCUAGCUCUAAUUUCCGCCCCUCUCUUGUAAGCCAUGCUUUGGGACCCUUGAGAUCCCUCUAAACUUUGAUGCCUGAGGGCUGGCUAUACCACACUGCACUAUGUGAGCACGUGAUUUUUGCCGUGUUUUAAUUACUCCUAUAGACUCGUUAAAAUUAGAAUUUUUGUUCUUUAGGAAUUAAUUAUUCAAUUUCGUGUUUUGUUUGCAUGUUUGUGUAUUUUAUUUCUUUAAUUAAUUAAAAAUUAGUUAAAUUAGUAUUAUUCAAACAAGAAAAAUAACAAAAAAUUGCCUUUUCUUGCAUUUUAGUUAUUAAUUGUCAAAUUGGUCGUAAAAUAAUUUUAAACAAUUUUUGUAAAUUAGCUAGUUUAGUUUUAGAAUAAAAUUAGGUUUUAUUUUACUUUCUUGCAUUUAGUUUACAAUAUUGAAAAUUAAAAAUAAAGCAAAAAAUGAAAUAAAAAAAAAUUGGUGCAAAAGAAGACAAAGAAAAGGGAUGUCUCGAUUUGGGCCAAUUCCCUUUUAAUAUUCCCAGCCCAAAUGUCCCUUGAACUCAUUUUUGCUCCAAUCCCAAUCCCUUCCUGGUCUAAGUUUCAUAAAGAGUGAAACAACGCCAUUUUAGCCGAUGCCUUUUGAUCUUUUGCCGUUCAAUAUUUGAGAUCGACGGCCCAGAAGCUUUGAUCCAUUUUACAUAAAUAUGUAAUAAUAUAUGUAUAAUUUCAUAGACAUAACCUAUCUACCUCGUACCCUUCGUCUUCCUCAGCUACUCCUCUGUUACUCCGUCGUCGACCGCUACCGGAAAUCGUCUCCACUGGCGGCGAAGCUCCAAUCGAUCAAAAAACUCUACCCCAUAAUCCUAUCUUCGUCCCCGUUCCAUUCCCACCAUUAUUUUCUCCCAAAACCCAGCCUAAUUUAUGGAAUUUCAAAUCUGAGAAUGGGUGAAAAACCCUAAUCCGCCCCAAACUGUAAAUAAUUGAUACCAAGGGUUCCUCUGACCCCCUCUGCCAUAAACCUAUGUUCAAAACUCUGCAAAUCCCUUUUGAAGUUCAACGAAUGGUGGAUCUAGGAUUUCAUCAGCUUGGGGUCUUGUGUGAAGGUUUUGAAGUCGAAUCGGUUUCUAGUUAAUGUCAUUAGCCUAUUUUGGAAUAAAUAGCCCAAUAACAUUAACCGAACUUCGAUUUUGGUGGGAUUUUCUGGGCCGAAGUUCGAGGGUGAGUUUUCUUUUUAGUUUUUAGUUUCUUUGCUUUCUUUGUUCCUAUCGUUUUGUUUCCAAUAAUCAAUUUGAGUAAUUAAUCAUCUCUUUGGUUUCCAAUCCUCUGGUUCAUGCUUUAAUGUGAUUAAUCUUCUUCUUUCUUAUUUCUCGUAAUUGUUAUUCGUUAAGAUUUAUUUCUGUUAGUUUGAAUGAUUUGUUUGUUUUGAUAUCUGACUUUUUCUAGUUCUGUGCUUAGUUUGUCCCUCUAUUUCUUUACUCGAUUGUAUUUCGUCUUGAAUUCUAGUCGAUUUUCUCGCUGAAGUUUAGUCUAUGCUUAGUGUAUUUUAGUUUUGUGUUUGUUAGACUCUGAUUUCUUCUCUUUUAUUCUUCUGGUUUGAGCUUUGUUCUAAUUAGUUUGAGUGUAGUCAAUCUCAGGAUUUCAUAUGAGAACAGCUUGAUUUUGGAAUUAAUCACAGUUAGACUCUAGAUGUUCAUUGUGUUAGGAUUAAUUAGUUUUUAUUUAGGACAAGGGAAUGGGUUAUAGCUGAAGAAAUCAUUUGUUAGUUUAGCUAGAGUUACAAUUCUAACUAGGGGUAAAGGGUUAGGUUCAGUUAGGCUAGGCUGUAAUUGUUGGGCUGUUGGAAGGGUAGUUUAGGCAUAGAAAAUGGCAGCAUCUUGAAAAAUAGUAAAUCCAAAACAGGGGAGGAGUAAUUUAGGAAUUUCUCAGCUAAAAGAGCAUCCUAGAUGCUCCUAAAGUGGGGUAAAAGUGUAGCUUUUAGCUUUUUAGUAGUACUUACUUGGUAGCAAGUUAGAAAUAUAAGGUUUUAAAUAGGGGGGGGGGGGGCUUGAUAUGGAAACCCUUUUUGCUGAAAUAUUCUUUCUUCUUGGCCUAUAUAAGGGCAUCAAAUGCUUUGUGAAAGGGGGUUCAACUUUUCAGCCUGAAAUUCAAUAAAAGUUAGCUAGAUUUCUUCAUUUUCGGAAAAUUUCAGUAGUUUCUUACUUCAAAAACCAGAAAAAAAUACAAAAACAUUGACAAAUAGAAACAAAAAUAAUUAUUCCAUUAUUAUUGAAGAAGAGUUUAAUUGAGGUGUUAAUCUUCAUUGUUUGGGGCCAAUUUCGAGCUGGUCUAGUAGAUUUUCCAGAAUUACUAGUGGUUUUUGCUAGGUUGGUUUGCUAACACUGAUUUCUAGGUGGAUAUGCUGGCUUUUAAACUUUCUGGGUCAAUUCUCUUGCAUCUGUGGGCCGCUGUGUGCUCUGUUUAUGUGAUUUGGCUUGGCGUCCUUCUUUCUUAUGUUAUUUUACAUUUCCAGGUAUUUGCUCGAUCUCUCAAGGCUAGAGGCUAGGAAUACUUAUAAUUCGAGUUUGGUUGUGAAAUGAGAAGCUGCUUUAAAUAUCUGGCUUGGUUAGUUUUCCUACUUGUUAUGAGAAUUUUAAUAAAUAGACUAGUCUUAUUACACGCUUAUAUGAAUGUUUUUACCUUAAGUUUCUAUUGAACAUGGCCUGAUUGGCUGUAAAAAUCUAUGUCUCAUAUAUGUGUCGACCCGACCCGUCAUCUCAUGAGUUACUACUCCGUUCUUCCCAUUUUGGCUUUUUAUGUUUAUUACCGGUAUUGGGUGCGUUAAAGUUGAUUUGGCGUGAUUUUGAUAAGAAAUAAUACGAAUAGUCUCUUUAAGGAAGAAUUAAUUUGGAAAAGUCAACCAGACAUUGACAUAUGAGUUAGAGGGCUCGGAAUUGAAUUCCGAUGAUCCGUCUAGUUUCGGGGAAUGAUUUAAGGCUUAGGAGCACAAUCGGAAGUAAUUUUGGAGGUCGGGUGAACAAAUUAGCCUAUUUUGGCGAAGUUAGUAUUUUGGUAUUUCUCGUUUGAUAGGUGAAAUUUAGAUUCGAGAGUCAGAAUGGAAUUCCGAUAAUUUUUGUAGCUUUGUUAUGUCAUUUUGGACUUGUGUGCAAAAUUUGAAGUCCAUCGGACGCGAUUUGAUAGGUUUCGGCAUCGGAAAUAGAAGUUAGAAAUUCUAAAGUUCAUUAAACUUGGAUUGCAGAUUGAUUCAUGAUUUUAGCGUUGUUUGAUGUGAUUUGAGGCCUUGAACAAGUCCGUAAUGUGUUUUGGGAUUUGUUAGUAUGAUUGGUCGAGGCCUCGGGUGUGUUUCGGGUUGUGAUCACGCUCUUAUUCGAUAUUUCAACGUCAUUUCUUUGGAAAUAAAGGGGGUACCCUAUUAAGCAAAUGAGAUCCAAAUUCAGUUUUAAGUAAACCAUUAGAUCCGUAUCAAAAUUACGGAGUCAUAGGAAAAUGAAUCAUCGAAUUUGGACAUCGUAUGAAGAAAUUAUGCUCAUUUUCCUGUGAAGAAAAAUGUUGCUUCUGGUAUGCUCGCAAUUGCAAACAAAGUGUGGGAAUUAUGAACCCUAUAAGCUUCGCAAAUGCGAAGAGAAAGGAUGGGAAAUGCAAAAAAACUGUAGCAAUCUGGGAAUUGCAAAAAAACUGUAGCUUCGCAAUUGCGAAGAAAUUUCUAGGAAUUGCGAAAUCACUGUAGCUGCGGCAGAAUGUUAAAAAAAAUAUUUCAGUCGUGAAAACACCCUAUUUCUCCUCCAUUUUCAGUCAUUUUGAGAGCUUUUGGACGGGGAUUGAAGGGAGUUUCAACUGAGAUCGAUUGGAAGUAAGUUUUAUGAGUUAAAUACAUGAUUUUAUUGAAUAAUCAUCCUAGAAAUCCAUGAAAAAUAGCUAAAUUAUAAAAAAUUACGGCUUGAGAUUGAAAUUCUAAAAUGGUCGUACGUUUUAUGAGUUAAAUACAUGAUUUUAUUGAAGAAUCAUCCUAGAAAUCCAUGAAAACAUAACCAAAUCAUAUGAAUUAGGGCUUGAGAUUAAAAUUCUAAAAUGAUAAUUUGAGAGGUCAAAUGAACUCUGAUUUUUGUAAAAUUGGUAUGUAUAGGCUCAUGGUGAGAUAAGGAUUGUUGUGGUGUAAAAAUUUCUGGAUUUUGAGAAGUGGGAUCGAGGCUUGGGUUUUGCAAAUUUCGUGAUUUUCGAUAUUUUUGAGUCUUUUCGAUUGGGAAUUGUUCCCUUGGCAUAUUGUCACGCCCCAAAUACGGGGGCAUGACCGGCACUCAACCAGGUAUCCCCAGUAGAGUGGACCUGGGUGCCUUUCCUAUUUCCCACGCGUUACCCAACUUCAUUCUUUGUUAAUUUUCCAAAAGAUACCAACUUUGCAAUUGAAAGAAUACAUGAAUUCUCUUUUAUAAGGACACAUUAUGAUUAAGAUGGAACAUCUUUUACAAAGCAUACAUUAUGAUUAACAGGGGAGGUGGUGUACAAGUAUACAGCGCCCAAAACAUAGACAUCUAUACAUAAGUUCUAACCCACAAACACUAUCUACAGAGCCUCUAAGAGAAAUAUAGUACAACACUUGCGGGCGACAAGGCUCCGGCUAUACCUUUAUAAAAGGACACAAGACUCCAAAAUACAAAAACAUAGGUGGCACGAGCCACACUAGGACCCCGAAAGGAAAGGGGCUCACUAAACAAGAAUACCGCCGAUUGAGAGGAGGAGGAGCUAUGAAUGGUGGACUGGAGUGCCUGCAACGGAUCUUCCUACAAUCAUAACAUGAAAGUAGCGCCCCCGAUAAAAGGGACGUCAGUACAUUUAAAUUGUACUGGCAUGUAUGAACAAACUCUGUCCCAAGUAAAUUCAAGCCAAAUUGCAUAUACAAUUAUAGAACUGAACAACAAUUGUACAAGUACAACCAUGGAGCAACAACCAAAAAUUUCACAACACAUGAUUCAAGUAGUCAAACAAAUGGGAAAUCAGUGCCUCACAGGUUACAAACUCUCCUGCUGUCUCCUUUCACAUUUCUACAUUUAUCCUUUCAUGAUUCAUGUUCAUAUCAAUAGUGAUAUUGGAUCAUAUUUUCCACCCUUAUUACCUCGUCUACCCUUAUUACCUCGGCCACCCUUAUCACCAUAACCCACACCUUAUUCCACCGUGUUGCGGUGCGCAACCCGACCCCGCCUGAAAGUUUCAAUUCACAACAACAAACAGCACAACAACAAAUACAAGAAAUCAACUGUGGCACAUUGCUAAAAAUAGAUCGACAACAAGGAUAAUGAAAUCCCACAACUAGCAACAACCAUGUCCUCAUGUUCAUCAAAGUGGUACACAAUUUGGAUUAUCACAACAGUUAUUCACAACUACUCUUCCGUAACCUUGAUGUCUUCAACUGGCACUAUUUUAAACGGAUCACCCACAACUUUCCUCCAAACUAAUCACACACGUUGUUCCACAAUAUUUCUAUUUCUACUGUUCCACAUUAUUUCCAUUUCUGUAGUUCCACAUUAUUUCCAUUUCCACUAUCCCAAGUUAUUUCCAUUUCCGUUGUUCCAAUUACAAGUUCCACAACAUUCACCACAAAGUAUUACCACAUAAUUAUAUAACACAAAAGCUUCACGAUGAUUCUCACAUGAAUAUCAACUAUCAACAAUUUCACAUCUAGCAUAGGGCGAUUUCACAAGGAUCACAGUUAGCCAUACAUANNNNNNNNNNNNNNNNNNNNNNNNNNNNNNNNNNNNNNNNNNNNNNNNNNNNNNNNNNNNNNNNNNNNNNNNNNNNNNNNNNNNNNNNNNNNNCCAAUUUGCCAAGCAAUCAAGAAGUCAAUCUAGUUCAUGAACAACACUUAGGUUUUAGAAAUUUAAACUCAUAGUUACUACACAAUUCCCUUUUUACAAGAUUUUAGGGUUUCGAAGACAUGCAUGAAGGUUUUAUGAAGAAAUUUCAAAGCAAGUGUAUGGGUUUCCCUUCCCAAGCUAAAUUUCGAAAUUUGGGGGAAAUAGGUUAGAGAUUUUACCUGAGAAAUCAAUAAGAAGAUAACACACCAAGGAUUUUCCAAGCUCCAAUGAUUUUGAAAGACUAGAUGAUAAAGAAUUCACUUUCUCUCUCAAGAACUCUCUCUCCCUCUCUCUUAUUUUUGUUCAGAAGUGUGUUAAAAUGAGGGAGAAGGUGUUUUAAUAAAAGGUGGGUCGGGUCUAAAAUUUNNNNNNNNNNNNNNNNNNNNNNNNNNNNNNNNNNNNNNNNNNNNNNNNNNNNNNNUUAGUAAAAGGUGGGUCGGGUCUAAAAUUUUAGAAAAAUACCAGGCGAACACAAUCUGCAAUCGCAGAAAUGGGCUGUAGAAAUGGCUCAAAUUUCAAACCUCUCAGGUUGGGAAUGUGGUAGAUAUGCGGUCCGCAUUUGAGUUCUGUUGUGCAAUCACUUUAUGGUCCAUAUAUUGAUUAUGGGAUCGUAGAUUUGACCGUAUUUUUAACAUUAAAAAUUGGUUGCUCUCUGAUUCACUAUGCGGUAGGAAUGCGGUCCGCAUAGCUGAUAUGCGACCGCAUUCUUGACCACAUUUUGACCAUUUUCUGGAAAAUUUUUGAUUUCCCAUUAUUAAGUUCAAAACAAUAAAAAGGGUCCAAUCCAUGUAGGUAGACUCGACUCUAUUAGUUGCUUAUAUCUGAGCACUCAUUUUCACGGGGCCUUACAUCCUCCCCCGCUUAGGAUCAUUCAUUUUCGAAUGAGUACUUGGGAAUCAAAUGAGUUUGAAAACAUGAUAUGCAAGUUUAUACACUUUUAUUAACUUUCAAGUUUGUUUUAGUAAAAUUUUGCCAGAGUUUCCUUUGUAAUAUGGACAUUACCACCUUCCAAAGAACCUCCAAAACAUAUUCCCAAGCAUUACUACACAACUACCUUCACAACAGUUGUAAAAUGCAUAAUCCUCACACUUGCAUAUAUUCAACCUCUUGAUACACCUUUAACCAUUUUGUCACACUACUUGAAAGCAAAUUAAGCAUCAAUCAUCUGUACUUAUUAAAGCCAUUUACCUAUCACAAAGGUACGACUCAGUUAUUCACUUCAAUACAAUUCCUCCAUGCAAAAACUAAUCAUCGCACAAUUAGAACACUUUGAUACACAAUCUCCAUGUAAAAUUAAUUAUUACUUCCACACAUCACCUUACCAUGGGAGUACAAAACUUUCAUUACCAAAAAGGACUGUACAUUGCUCUAAUAGUUACAACACAUAAACUUGGUUGGCAUAACUUGGAGAAACUACAACAAUAAGGCACUUGGAAAGAGAAGGAAUGAUUCUUACACCUAAUGGAACACGAAACCAGCUCUCCUAGGGACAAGAUUCGCACGAUCAUUCCUAAACUUACUCAAAUGGAUGGGGGUAUUUUAUCUUCAUCUCAUCUUCUGCUUCCCACGUGGCUUCAUCGACUUGUUGGUUUCACCACAACACUUUAACUAAAGCAAUCUCCUUGUUUCACAACUUUCGGACUUGCCUAUCCAGAAUAGCAACCGGAAUCUCCUCAUAUGAUAACUCUUCCGUAACCUUGAUGUCUUCAACUGGCACUAUUUUAAACGGAUCACCCACAACUUUCCUCAACAUGAAUACAUGAAACACCGGGUGCACUAAGGACAUUUAAGGGGGAAAUUCCAACCUAUACGCAACUUGACCGAUCCUUCGAAUGACUUGAUAAGGCCUGACAUACCUAGGAAUUAGUUUUCCAUUCUUCUCAAAGCGCAUAACUCCUUUUAUAGGGAACACCCUCAAGAAUAGCCAAUCUCCUUCUUGAUACUUCAAUUCUCUCCGACGCACGUCCGCAUAGGAUUUCUGGCGACUUUGAGCAGUCUUCAUUCUCUCCUGAAUGACUCUUACCUUCUCCAUGGCUUGGUGCACGAGAUCCGGCCCUAUAAAUUCUGCUUCACCAACCUCGAACCACCCGAUCGGGGACCUACACCUUCUUUCCUACAAUGCUUCGAAUGGGGCCAUUUGGAUGCUAGCAUGGAAGCAGUUAUUAUAAGCAAAAUCUAUAAGGGGCAGGUGCUCAUCCCAAUUACCCGAAUGGUGCCAUUUGGAUGCUAGCAUGGAAGCUUUUAUUAUAGGCAAACUCUAUAAAGGGCAGGUGAUCAUCCCAACUACCUUUGAAAUAAAAGACACAUGCCCGCAAUAUAUCCUCGAGCGUCUCAAUAGUUCGCUCUGCUUCCAUCGGUAUGUGGAUGAAAAGCUAUGCUAAGAUUCACUUGAGUGCCCAAACAUUGCUGAAAUUUCCUCCAGAAGUUAGCUGUAAACUAAGCUCUUCGAUCCAAAAUAAUAGAAAGUGGCGUACCAUGAAGCUUCACUAUCUCCUUGAUAUACAACCGAGCAUAUUGUUCCGCAAAAGUAUCGGUGGACUUGACUGGCAAAAAGUGAGCUGAUUUGGUGAGCUUAUCCACAAUUACCCAAAUUGAGUCAAACUUGUGCUGAGUACAAGGUAGUCCUGUCUCAAAGUCCAUAUUGAUCAUUUCCCACUUCCACAUUGGUAUUUCUAUAAGCUGAGUCAACCCUCCCGGGCGUUGAUGCUCGGCCUUCACUUGCUGGAAAUUUGGACACUUAGAGACGAAGUCAGCUACACUUCUCUUCGUACCACUCCACCAAUAGAUAUCCUUGAGAUCAUGAUACAUCUUUUUGAGCCUGGGUGCACCGAAUACUUGGAAUGAUGAGCCUCCGUCAUUACCCUCUCCCGAAGAUUAUCCACAUUUGGGACACAUAACCUGUAAUGGCACCGUAGCACACCAUCAUUGCUGCCGAGUGAAAAUGCUAAAAUUUUGUUACUUAGAGCUGCCUUCUUCAAUUGUGCCAAUGAUGGAUCAACAAACUGCUUUUCUUUAACCUCUGCCACGAGCGAUGAUUCUGUUUUAUUAUGAACCAUAAGUUCCUCCUCACUCAAAGCCGAGAUACAAACCCCACUACUGUACCUCCCGAGCUAGGAACCUCUGAUCCUCUUUCAAGUGAGCCAAACUACCCAUGGAUUUCCGACUAAGGGUGUCGGCCACAACGUUCGCCUUUCAUGUAUGGUACAAGAUGUCCAUAUCAUAAUCCUUAAGAAAUUCUAACCACCGCCGCUUCCUCAAAUUUAGCUCCUUCUGCUUGAAUAAAUGUUGAAGACUCUUGUGGUCUGAAAACACAUCUACAUGAACCCCAUAAAGAUAAUGCCACCAUAUUUUCAAGGAGAAUACAAUUGCUGCAAGUUCCAAAUCAUGCGUCGGAUAAUUAUUCUCAUGAUUCUUUAGUUUCCUGGAAGCAUAUGCUAUGACCUUUCCGUGUUGCAUCAGAACACACCCUAAACCAACCCUGGAGGCAUCACAAUAAACUUCAAACCCCUAUGUGCCUUCUAGCAAGGCCAAUACUGGUACCCAAGUCAACCUUGUCUUUAAUUCUUGAAAACUUUUCUCUCAAGCAUCUGACCACUGAAAUUUUGCUUAUUUCUGUGUCAAUUUGGUCAGAGGAGAGGCAAGGGUGGAGAAUCCCUCUACAAACCUCCGAUAAUACCCUGCUAACCCCAAAAAGCUAUGGAUCUCCGUCAGGGUCGUGGGCCUAGGUCAAUCCUUCACCGCUGCAAUCUUUAUGGGGUCCACCUUAAUCCCCUCACUCGAAACAACAUGACCCUGAAAAGCGACGGACUCCAACCAAAAUUCACAUUUGGAAAAAUUGGCAUACAAUUGGUGCUGAUGUAGAGUCUGCAAAACCGCUCUCAGGUGAGUGGGAUGAUCCUCCCUGCUCCGCAAAUAUACGAGGAUGUCGUCAAUGAAAACAAUCACGAAGGAGUCCCGCAUAGGAUUUCUGGCGACUUUGAGCAGCCUUCAUUCUCUCCUGAAUGUCUCUUACUUUCUCCAUGGCUUGAUGCAUGAGAUCUAGCAAUAUUAAAUCUUCUUCACCAACCUCAAACCACCCGAUUGGGGACCUACACCUUAUCAUAAGGUCCAUAAAAGUUGUCGGGGCGUUGGUUAGACCAAAACACAUGACCAAGAAUUCAAAGUGGCCGUAGCAAGUUCUGAAAGCGGUGUUAGGAAUAUCUUGCUCCCUGAUCUUCAAUUGGUGGUACCCAGACUGCAAAUCAAUUUUGGUGAAGAACCUUGAACCUUGAAAUUGAUCGAACAAAUCAUCUAUCCGAGGUAUUGGUACUUAUUCUUGAUGGUGACUUUAUUAAGCUGUCGAUAAUCGAUACACAUCUGAAGCAACCCAUCCUUCUUUGUGACAAAAAGAACUGGAGCACCCCACGACGACACACUUGGCAGAGUAAACCCCUUCUCUAAUAGAUCCUUCAACUGCUCUUUUAACUCUCGCAACUCUGCUGGCGCCAUUCUAUAUGGUGGAAUAGAUAUUGGCUGGGUAUCUGGAAAUACAUCAAUCCCGAAAUCAAUCUCCCUAUCUGGCAGAAUUCCUGGAAGCUCAUUUGGAAAUAUCUCAAGAAACUCAUUCACAACUAGCGCGGACUCGGGGGCAAGAACCUUUGGAGUAGUGUCUCCUACCCGGACUAAAUGAUAGUUACACUCCUUCCCAAUCAACUUCGAAGCCUUGAGGUAGGCAAUAAACCUACCCUUCAGCGAAACACCAUUUCUUUUCCACUCAACAACCGGAUCAUUAGGGAACUCGAGUCUUAUGACUCUCAUCUGACAAUCAAGUUUGGCAAAGAACGAGUAGAGCCAAUCCAUCCCCAUGAUUACAUCAAAAUCCACCAUCCCAAGCUCGACUAGGUCAGCCGUGGUAACAUGACCACCUACCAUAAAAACACAAUUCCUAUAGACCCGCGCAGCUGUAAUAGAAUCACCAACCAGAGUCGAUAUUGAGAACGACUCGAGAAGCUGUUCGGGUUCAAUCCCAAAACUCGAAGCAACAAAUGGAGUGACAUAGGACAAAUAAGACCCUAGAUUAAUAAGAGCAUAGCAAUCAAUGGUCUGGACAGAUAGGAUACCUGUGACAACAUGUGGGGAAGCCUCAGCACUCUGAUGGCCACUCAAUGUAUAAAACCUGCCGGGUCCUCCCCUACCAUGAACUCCACCUCUGGCUGCACCAUGCCCUGCUGGGGCUGGAGGGCGCACUGAUGACGUAGAAUCUGAUGAACUGGAUGGCUGAGCAAGUCCCCUACCCGUGCCCUGUCUGGGCGCACGGCAGUCCCGUUGUAUGUGACCUCUCACCCCACAAUUGUAACACUUUGGAGCAUCCAAGUAACAUGCCUCUCUAUGAAAUCUCCCACACUUGGGACAUAUACCUCCAUGUUGCCGAGGUCUCAUCCCCAAAUGAUUGAACUGGCGGGACCUCCUAUUGUCUGAACCUGGCCCCGAAGGGAUACUCUACUGGAAACAGUGCACGGAUGGCAGUGCACUAGCUGAGGAGAGCAUCCAAGUAACAUGCCUCUGUAUGAAAUCUCCCACACUUAGGGCAUAUACCCCCUGCUGUUGAGGCCAUAUCCCCGAAUGACUGAGCUGGCGGGACCUCCUACUCUCUGAACAUGGCGCCGAAAGGCUAAUCUGCUAGAUAUGGUGCACAUAUGACGAUGCACUAGCUGAGGACUGAGCAUAAGACUGAGAUGGUCCUGAUGACCCUCUCUCUGGAGAUGACCUCCCUGAGUGACCCAUAGACCGGACCCUGCUGCUACUCUCUCUGUCUGCCCAAAUCUUCAACUUCCUGGCCUCUCUGGCCUAAGAAAAACCCACGAUCUUUCCAUAGUUCAUGUCCGAAUGCAAAUCCGCUGUUGAAGCCUCAUUUACCAUGAAAGGGCUGAUACAUUGAACAAAUCGCCGAACUCUAGCCUUUAUAGUCGACACCAACUGAGGAGCAUACUUGGACAACCUCACAAAAUCCAUAUGAUACUCCCAAACAAUCAUGCUACCCUGCUUAAUAACCUCAAACUCAGGUACAGGCUGCCAUGGUCUCGGCAGGCAAGAAGUGGUCCAUUAAGGCAUCUACAAACUCAUCCCUUCUAGCUGGAGGUCUCCCCUCCUCACAGGAAUCCUCCCACAUCUCAAACCACGAACGCGCAGCCCCCUUCGGCCAUUGGGUUUGUGCCUGAGAAAUCUAGAGGAUUCAAUUGCAAAAACUGAUGAACUCUUGAGCUGGAAGAAUCUCCCUGUCCGCUGGAGGACACAUGGGCAUCACAAGAUCUCUGGGCCUGGGCAGCCAUUAACUGGGUCAACAUAUGGAUAGCUCCCCUAAAGUCUCUAUCAGAAAUCCCGGGAUCAAAAGCUGGAGCAACAUCAGGAUUAGGAGCAUGGGCAUGAGAGAUAGUAGCACCCUCGGCCGCUGCUGGAACAUGAUUGCUUGGAUGAGGAACGGUUGGAGCAGGCAAAUUCAGGACUGGGGAAUCAUUCUCACCCACGACAGUCGGCACAUGACCCACAGCCGCACUAGAAGUGGCAUUGGCCCCUAGGCCAAGUCUAGCUUUCUUCUUAGGUGCUAUCACUAAAAAUUCAAAAUAGAGCGCGAAUUAGACAAAACAUCACUUCACCGCACGAACUUGGAAUAACAAAGAAGAGGAUAAUUUUUCCUAAAUGCCCGUGUAGCCCCCAACUUAUAGAUGUGGUCGACAACACACCGAUACGAAGGGCUCUACUAGGCACGACUCCGAGACACCCUACGAAUCCUUUAAAACUUUAGGCUCUGAUACCAUGUUUGUCACGCCCCAAAUUCGAGGGCCUGACCGGCACUCAACCGUGUAUCCCCAGUCAAGUGGACAUGGGUGCCUUUCCUAUUUGACAAUACACUGAUAAGAAGAGCUCUACUAGGCACGGCUCCGAGACACCCUAGUACUCCAUUAAAACUUUAGACUCUGAUACCAAGUUUGUCACACCCCAAAUCCGAGGGCAUGAAUGGCACUCAGCCGGGUAUCCCCAAUCGAGUAGACCUGGGUGCCUUUCCUAUUUCCCACGCAUUACCCUACUUCAUUCUUUGUUAAUUAGCCAAAAGAUACCAACUUUGCAAUUGAAAUAACACAUGAUUUCUCUUUUAUAAACACACAUUAUGAUUAAAAGGGAACAUCUUUUACAAAGCAUACAAUAUGAUUAACAGGGGAUGUGGUGUACAAGUUUACAGCGCACAAAAGAUACACCUAUAUACAUAAGUUCUAACCCACAAUACAUUGUCUACAGAUCCUCUAAGAGAAAGAUAAUACAACACCUGCCGUCGAAAAGGCCCCGGCUAUACCUUUACAAAAGGACACAAGACUCCAAAAUACAAAAACAUAGGUGGCAUGAGCUACACAAGGCCCUGGAAGAAAAGGUGCUUACCAAACACGAAUAUCGCCGAUAGAGAUGAGGAGGAGCUACGAACGAUGGACUGGAGUGCUUGCCACAGAUCCACCUACAUUCAUAAUAUGAAUGUAGCGCCCCCAGCAAAAGGGAUGUCAGUACAUUUGAAUUGUACUGGCAUGUAUGAACAAACUUUUCCCCAAGUAAAAUCAAACCAUAUACAAGUAAAAAAAAACAGUAGUAAAAGCAGCAACAAACACACACGGAAGGAACAAUCAAGACAAACAAGUUCACAAACUCUCCUGGUUCCCCUUCCACAUUUCCAUGCCAAUAGUUUCACAUUUUCAUAUAGAACUGAACAACAAUAGUACAAGUACAACCAUGGAGCAACAACCAUAAAUUUCACAACAAAUGAUUCAAGUAGUCAAACAAAUGGCAAUCAAUACCCCACAGGUUACAAACUCUCCUGCUGUCUCCUUUCACAUUUCCACAUUUAUCAUUUCAUGAUUCUUGUUCAUAUCAAUAGUGAUAUUGGAUCAUAUUUUCCACCCUUAUUACCUCGUCCACCCUUAUCACCCCAACCCACACUAUUGGAUCAUAUUUUCCACCCUUAUUACCUCGUCCACCCUUAUCACCCCAACCCACACCUUAUUCCACCGUGUUGCGUCAUGCAACCCGACCCCGCCUGACAGUUUUAAUUCACAACAACAAACAAUACAACAACAAAUACAAGAAAUCAACUAUGGCACAUUGUUAAAAAUAGAUCGACAACAAGGAUAAUGAAAUCCCACAACUAGCAACAACCAUGUCCUCAUGUUCAUCAAAGUGGUACACAAUUUGGAUUAUCACAACAGUUAUUCACAACUAAUCACACAUGUUGUUCCACAAUAUUUCCAUUUCCAUUGUUCCACAUUGUUUCCAUUUCCAUUGUCCCACGUUAUUUCCAUUUCCGUUGUUCCAACUACAAGUUCCACAAAAUUCACCACAAAGUAUUACCACACAAUUAUACAACACAAAAGCUUCACAAUGAUUCUCAGAUGAAUAUCAACUAUCAACAAUUUCAUAUCUAGCAUAGGGCGAUUUCACAAGGAUCAAAGUUAGCCAUACAUACCUGGAGUUGAGUUUUCCCCUUUAAACCUUUAGUCCAAUUUGCCAAGCAAUCAAGAAGUCAAUCUAGUUCACGAACAACACUUAGGUUUUAGAAAUUUAAACUCAUAGUUACUACCCAAUUCCCUUUUUACAAGAUUUUAGGGUUUUGAAGACAUGCAUGAAACUUUUAUGAAUAUAUUUCAAAGCAAGUGUAUGGGGUUCCCUUCCCAAGCUAAAUUUUGAAAUUUGAGGUAAAUGGGUUAGGGAUUUUACCUGAGAAAUCCAUAGAGAAGACAACGCACCAAGGAUUUUACAAGCUCCAAUGAUUUGAAAGACUAGAUGAUGAAGAAUUCACUUUCUCUCUCAAGAACCCUCUCUCUCUCUCUCUCUCUCUCUCUUAUUUUGGUUCAGAAGUGUGUUAAAAUGAGGGAGAAGGUGUUUUACUAAAAGGUGGGUCGGGUCUAAAAUUUUAGAAUAAUACCAGGCGAACACAAUCUGCGACGCGAUCUGCGAACGCAGAACAGACAUUUGGUCCGAAUAAUGGACCGCAUAAAUGGCUUAAAUAUGAAACCUCUCUGGUUGGGAACGUGGUGGAUAUGCGGUCCGCAUUUCAGUUCUGCGGUCGCAGAAUGCACCGCAGAACUGAGCUUCGAAUUUCCUCAGGGACAAUAUGCGAUGACUCUGCGGUCCACAUAUUGAUUAUGCGAUCGCAGAUUUGACCGCAUUUCCAACAUCAAAAUUUUGUUGCUCUCUAAUUCAUUCUACGGUAGGAAUGCGGUCCGCAUAAUUGAUCUGCGACCGCUCAACAUAAAAAAUUUGUUGCUCCCUGAUUUAGUGUAUGGUAGGAAUGCGGUCCGCAUAGCUUAUCUGUGACCGCAUUCUUGACCGCAUUUUGACCAUUUUCUAGAAAAAUUUUGAUUUCCCAUUUUUAAGUUUAAAACAGUAAAAAGGGUCCGGUCCAUGUAGGUAGACUCGACUCUAUGAACUGCUAACAUCUGAGUACUCAUUUUCACGGGGCCUUACAUAUAUUGUGAUGUAUUUCUAUGAUUUUGGCUAGAUUCGACGCGUGUGGA